Molecule: ribosomal RNA, 253 nt
Filed under: uncultured bacterium
Lineage: Bacteria
Description: partial 16S ribosomal RNA
Rfam family: Bacterial small subunit ribosomal RNA
Source: RNAcentral
UACGAAGGGGGCUAGCGUUAUUCGGAUUCACUGGGCGUAAAGAGCGCGCAGGCGGUCGUUCAAGUCGCGUGUGAAAGCCCCCGGCUCAACUGGGGAGGGUCACGCGAUACUGAUCGACUCGAAGGCAGGAGAGGGAAGUGGAAUUCCCGGUGUAGUGGUGAAAUGCGUAGAUAUCGGGAGGAACACCAGUGGCGAAGGCGACUUCCUGGCCUGUUCUUGACGCUGAGGCGCGAAAGCUAGGGGAGCAAACGGG